GGCUCCUGACUUCCGAAACUUGAAUUGUAUGCCUCUGUUCUUCAGGUGGGCUCCUGACUUCAAAAGACAAAAUGUCUAUUGAAAACUAAAAUUUGAAUUAUAUCACCUCUGUUCUUCAGGCGGGCUCCUGAUUGCUGAAUUUGAAAUUGAAUGUAUUCCUCUAUUAUCCAGGCGGGCUCCUGACUUCACAAAAAUAGACAAAACAAAGAAAACUUUCUGCCCCAGUUUGGAAAACUGGUUGUUUGUUACCACAUACUAAUAAGAACUAAAACUUGAAUUGUGAUAAGACUGAAAUGCAACUUUUAAAAAGUCAAAGACUGCAAUGUAUCUUAAAAUUUAAACUUUAUCUUAGGUGAAAAAUUCAUCAGACUAAGAUUUCCAUCUUAGGAGAAAGAUUCAACAGACUAAGAUUUUUACCUCUAUCUUAGGUGAAAAAUUCAUCAGACUAAGAUUUUCAUCUUAGGAGAAAGAUUCAACAGACUAAGAUUUAUCUAUAUCUUAGGUGAAAAAUUCAUCAGACUAAGAUUUCCAUCUUAGGUGAAAGAUUCGACUAACUAAGAUUUAUCUUUAUUUUAGGUGAAAAUUUCAUCAGACUAAGAUUUCCAUCUUAGGAGAAAGAUUCAACAGACUAAGAUUUUUGUCUUUAUCUUAGGUGAAAAAUUCAUCGGACUAAG
RNAcentral lists this long non-coding RNA (674 nucleotides) under Nicotiana tabacum (common tobacco). RNAcentral's name for it is "long non-coding RNA (NTAB_LNC006379)". The record is from RNAcentral. Lineage: Eukaryota; Viridiplantae; Streptophyta; Magnoliopsida; Solanales; Solanaceae.